UUUAGCUUCUUAUCCUCAGUAAUUUCGAUAAAUUCCUCACGAAUGCUUUUGUUUAUAUUUCCAAUAAUCAUGACAACAAAACAGAACAAGAAACGUCUCAUUGAGAAAAUUAUACAAAUAUAUUAGUUUAAAUUAAAAUUAAUAAAUAUCUCUUUUGUUUUCUUAUCGGACAGAAAGUUUACAUGAAUCCGCGGAAUACUCAGAAAAGACAACACAUUCAUAUGCCUUUUUACCGAAGUUUAAUGAAAUUUUACAGGAAUCGGCGGAAUAUUCAG
Long non-coding RNA from Saccostrea cuccullata (small rock oyster), 275 nucleotides. RefSeq lists it as uncharacterized. NCBI's taxonomy places the organism in Eukaryota, Metazoa, Mollusca, Bivalvia, Ostreida, Ostreidae. The transcript has 3 exons. The record is from RefSeq and is a predicted model, not a curated record.